RNAcentral lists this transfer RNA (64 nucleotides) under Marmota monax (woodchuck). RNAcentral's name for it is "tRNA.Ala". Lineage: Eukaryota; Metazoa; Chordata; Mammalia; Rodentia; Sciuridae. The record is from RNAcentral.
GGUAGCUCAGUGGUAGAGCACUUGCCCAGCAUGUGUGAGGCCCUAGGUUCUAUCCCCAGUAUCA